CCUACGGGAGGCAGCAGUGAGGAAUAUUGGUCAAUGGACGAGAGUCUGAACCAGCCAAGUAGCGUGAAGGAUGACUGCUCUAGGGGUUGUAAAUCUCUUUUAUAUGGGAAUAAAUUGUUCCACGUGUGGGAUUAUGUAUGUACCAUAUGAUUCAGGAUGGGGUAACUCUGUGCCAGCAGCCGGGGUAAUACGGAGGAUCCGAGCGUUACGCGGAUUUACUGGGGUUAACGGGAGCGUAGGUGGAUUAUUAAGACAGAUGUGAAAUCUUGCGGCUCAACCGUAGAAUUGCAGUUGAAACUGGCAGUCUAGAGUAUGGGAGAGGUAGGCGGAAUUCGUGGUGUAGCGGUAAAAUGCGUAGAGAUCACGAAGAACACUGAUUGCGAAGGCAACCCGCUGGACCGCAACUGACACUGAGGCGCGAAAGUGUGGGGAGCAAACAGGAUUAGAUACCCGUGUAGUC
Molecule: ribosomal RNA, 460 nt
Filed under: uncultured bacterium
Lineage: Bacteria
Description: partial 16S ribosomal RNA
Rfam family: Bacterial small subunit ribosomal RNA
Source: RNAcentral